UGAACGCUGGCGGCGUGCCUAAUACAUGCAAGUCGAGCGACCGGACGAGAAGCUUGCUUCUCUGAUGUUAGCGGCGGACGGGGGAGUAACACGUGGAUAACCUACCUAUAAGACUGGGAUAACUUCGGGAAACCGGAGCUAAUACCGGAUAAUAUUUUGAACCGCAUGGUUCAAAAGUGAAAGACGGUCUUGCUGUCACUUAUAGAUGGAUCCGCGCUGCAUUAGCUAGUUGGUAAGGUAACGGCUUACCAAGGCAACGAUGCAUAGCCGACCUGAGAGGGUGAUCGGCCACACUGGAACUGAGACACGGUCCAGACUCCUACGGGAGGCAGCAGUAGGGAAUCUUCCGCAAUGGGCGAAAGCCUGACGGAGCAACGCCGCGUGAGUGAUGAAGGUCUUCGGAUCGUAAAACUCUGUUAUUAGGGAAGAACAUAUGUGUAAGUAACUGUGCACAUCUUGACGGUACCUAAUCAGAAAGCCACGGCUAACUACGUG
RNAcentral lists this ribosomal RNA (495 nucleotides) under uncultured bacterium. RNAcentral describes it as "partial 16S ribosomal RNA". It matches the Rfam family "Bacterial small subunit ribosomal RNA", at positions 30 to 507 of the family's 1533-position model. The record is from RNAcentral.